UACGUAGGGGGCAAGCGUUGUCCGGAUUUAUUGGGCGUAAAGAGCGUGUAGGCGGCCAUACAGGUCCGUUGUGAAAACUCGAGGCUCAACCUCGAGACGUCGAUGGAAACCGUAUGGCUAGAGUCCGGAAGAGGAGAGUGGAAUUCCUGGUGUAGCGGUGAAAUGCGCAGAUAUCAGGAGGAACACCGGUGGCGAAGGCGGGUCUCUGGGCCGAUACUGACGCUGAGGAGCGAAAGCGUGGGGGAGCGAACAGGA
Molecule: ribosomal RNA, 255 nt
Filed under: uncultured bacterium
Lineage: Bacteria
Description: partial 16S ribosomal RNA
Rfam family: Bacterial small subunit ribosomal RNA
Source: RNAcentral